CACAGCCAAAAAUAGCCAUGGGCUCACCUGAGCAAGGGGGGGAGGGCGGGGGGGGGCCAGGGCUGCCCGCCUGCCUUCGUCCCACUGCUCCAUAUUAAUGAGCUCCCUCUUCCUCCCCCUCCUUCUCCUCCUCCUCCUCCUCCUCCCCCGGUGUCGGGCUGUGCAGCCGGGGCUGUGUUACCUGAGCGCAGCCCGAGGAGGCCACCGCCAUGGCCGGCUGCUCCCCCAGGCUCCAGCUCUGGCUCCUGCUCCACGUCUCCUGCCUCUGCCUGGCCCAGAUCCGAGGGCCGCCGGGAGAGCCCGGCCCGCGAGGUCCCCCCGGUCCCCCAGGAGUGCCAGGAGUGGAUGGCAUUGACGGUGACAAAGGCUCUCCUGGAGCCCCUGGGUCCCCGGGUACCAAGGGCGAGCCUGGAGUUCCUGGUCCGGAUGGGCCCCCGGGGAAGCCGGGCAUCGAUGGCCUGACGGGAGCGAAAGGGGAGCCAGGACCCAUCGGUGGGCCAGGAGUUAAAGUGAGUCAGGGGGUGCUCCGGGGCACCCACCUUCCCCCCCCAGAGCCAGGGGGUCCUGGCCAGCUUGGGACCAGCCCGGCCACUCUGGGCUCCCACCUUCCCUCCCCCCGGAU
Molecule: long non-coding RNA, 622 nt
Filed under: Calidris pugnax (ruff)
Lineage: Eukaryota; Metazoa; Chordata; Aves; Charadriiformes; Scolopacidae
Description: lncRNA (ENSCPUG00000018387.1)
Source: RNAcentral